UACAGAGGUCUCAAGCGUUGUUCGGAUUCAUUGGGCGUAAAGGGUGCGUAGGCGGCGCGUUAAGUCGGGUGUGAAAUCUUGGAGCUUAACUCCGAAACUGCAUUCGAUACUGCCGUGCUUGAGGACUGGAGAGGAGACUGGAAUUUACGGUGUAGCGGUGAAAUGCGUAGAUAUCGUAAGGAAGACCAGUGGCGAAGGCGGGUCUCUGGACAGUUCCUGACGCUGAGACGCGAAAGCCAGGGGAGCAAACGGG
RNAcentral lists this ribosomal RNA (253 nucleotides) under uncultured bacterium. Its description in RNAcentral is "partial 16S ribosomal RNA". It matches the Rfam family "Bacterial small subunit ribosomal RNA", at positions 524 to 776 of the family's 1533-position model. The record is from RNAcentral.